GAAAGUUUCGCAAAAUUGCAGUCCGCAGUGCCCAUACUUUUUUAAAAGUUCGACAGCAGCAUACGAAAACACUUAAUUUGCAGUUUUCAUCAUUGUAAUAUGAAUUUGGUGCAGUCAAAUUUUAAAGCAUUCCCAGGAAUAGCAACACGGAGUGGCAAUAGAUCUAGUGCACCGUACAUGAAAAAGAUUAAAAUCUUCAUAACAAAGCGAGAAAAAUUAUUGUGUGUGCAGUGUUACGAUUUUAGUUUCUGGGUGUUGACGGGCUAGACAUUGCAACAAAGUUGAUGAAUUUCAGUACUUGCAAAUCAUGCCUCGCCUGUAUAAAAUAAAAUGUACAAAAUAAUCCAAA
Molecule: long non-coding RNA, 349 nt
Organism: Schistocerca serialis cubense
Lineage: Eukaryota; Metazoa; Arthropoda; Insecta; Orthoptera; Acrididae
Exons: 2
Source: RefSeq, a predicted model, not a curated record